Molecule: ribosomal RNA, 460 nt
Filed under: uncultured bacterium
Lineage: Bacteria
Description: partial 16S ribosomal RNA
Rfam family: Bacterial small subunit ribosomal RNA
Source: RNAcentral
CCUACGGGUGGCAGCAGUGAGGAAUAUUGGUCAAUGGACGCAAGUCUGAACCAGCCAAGCCGCGUGCAGGAAGACGGCUCUAUGAGUUGUAAACUGCUUUUGUACGAGGGUAAACGCAGAUACGCGUAUCUGUCUGAAAGUAUCGUACGAAUAAGGAUCGGCUAACUCCGUGCCAGCAGCCGCGGUAAUACGGAGGAUUCAAGCGUUAUCCGGAUUUAUUGGGUUUAAAGGGUGCGUAGGCGGUCGGAUAAGUUAGAGGUGAAAUCCCGAGGCUCAACUUCGGAAUUGCCUCUGAUACUGUUCGUCUAGAGAGUAGUUGCGGUAGGCGGAAUGUAUGGUGUAGCGGUGAAAUGCUUAGAGAUCAUACAGAACACCGAUUGCGAAGGCAGCUUACCAAGCUACUUCUGACGUUGAGGCACGAAAGCGUGGGGAGCAAACAGGAUUAGAUACCCGGGUAGUC